AGACUUGUAGCUCAGGUGGUUAGAGCGCACCCCUGAUAAGGGUGAGGUCGGUGGUUCAAGUCCACUCAGGCCUACCA
Molecule: transfer RNA, 77 nt
Filed under: Escherichia coli
Lineage: Bacteria; Pseudomonadati; Pseudomonadota; Gammaproteobacteria; Enterobacterales; Enterobacteriaceae
Description: tRNA-Ile
Rfam family: tRNA
About the family: Transfer RNA (tRNA) molecules are approximately 80 nucleotides in length. Their secondary structure includes four short double-helical elements and three loops (D, anti-codon, and T loops).
Source: RNAcentral